Corapipo altera (White-ruffed manakin) is the source of this 877-nucleotide long non-coding RNA. RefSeq lists it as uncharacterized. NCBI's taxonomy places the organism in Eukaryota, Metazoa, Chordata, Aves, Passeriformes, Pipridae. The transcript has 3 exons. The record is from RefSeq and is a predicted model, not a curated record.
ACCUGAAGGCGAGCAGGCAGAUCAUCCUGGGAGGACAGAAAGCCAAAAGACAGCUGGUUUCCAAAGGUCUGGCCUCCCCUGAGUGUGACACAGACAGUUGCAAAAUCCUGAUUUCCAGCACUUGCUGGAUGCUGAGCCAGUUGGUGUGACUGGGCAGGUGUGGGUCUGGGUCCUGUCUUUGGGAAUGCUAAUUGCUCAGGUUUGAUGUCCCUCUGGGUUUGUCCCCUUCCUUUUUCUUACCUUCCCAACUGCAAACACGAGUGGUUUUCCCAUUCCACAGAUGUGUACCAGUCAGUGAGACUGACCAGGCUGGUUCCUGUCACUUCCUGUCUCAGCAGUCAGCUGUCUUCCCCCACACUUGUCAUGUGGGCACAGGGAUACCACACUUGCAAGGGCUUCUCCAAAGGUUUUUGUGCCGGGAGUGCUCCAGGCUUUCAGAAGCAGAGCAGCCCUGGGAGAGCAGCUGAGUGAUGACGGGAAUGAGCUGCAGAGGAAGAAGAAGGAGGAAUGUCCCUUGGCUGUGCCAGGUGAGGAGAUGCAGUGAGUGUCAAGGCCAGGGAGAGCAAAGGCCUUGCCAUGCUGUGGCUGUGGUUGGUUUCCCCCGAGUGCUGAGCAGGAGCCUUUGAUGGACAAGCUGUGCUGGUUUUUCCCUGGCAGAAAGCAGCCAGAGCAGCCGUGGGUCCACGCGAGGCGCGUGUGAAGUGUGGGAAGGUGGCGGAGGGAACGGAGCAGUUGUGCAGAAGUGGUUCUGCUCCCCGAGCCCUGAGGCGCAGUCCUGGGAAUGCCACAUUCCAGGGAACAUCUGCAGCCUGCUCUGAGCUCUGAGCUGAUCCCCUGCUGAUGUUCAACUCUUUCUAUUGUGGUUUUUUGUCUCCCC